RNAcentral lists this ribosomal RNA (210 nucleotides) under uncultured Gammaproteobacteria bacterium. Its description in RNAcentral is "partial 16S ribosomal RNA". It matches the Rfam family "Bacterial small subunit ribosomal RNA", at positions 30 to 232 of the family's 1533-position model. Lineage: Bacteria; Pseudomonadati; Pseudomonadota; Gammaproteobacteria. The record is from RNAcentral.
AUUGAACGCUGGCGGCAGGCUUAACACAUGCAAGUCGAGCGGAAACGAAGAGUAGCUUGCUACUUUGGCGUCGAGCGGCGGACGGGUGAGUAAUGCUUGGGAAUAUGCCUUUUGGUGGGGGACAACAGGUUGGAAACGACUGCUAAUACCGCAUAAUGUCUGAGGACCAAAGGCGGGGGACCUUCGGGCCUCGUGCCAAAAGAUUAGCCC